UACGUAGGUGGCGAGCGUUGUCCGGAAUUACUGGGCGUAAAGGGCGUGUAGGCGGAUAUUUAAGUCAGGUGUGUAAUCUCCAGGCUUAACCUGGAGUUUGCAUUUGAUACUGGGUAUCUUGAGUGCAGGAGAGGACAGUGGAAUUCCUAGUGUAGCGGUGAAAUGCGUAGAUAUUAGGAGGAACACCAGUGGCGAAGGCGGCUGUCUGGACUGUAACUGACGCUGAGGCGCGAAAGCGUGGGGAGCAAACAGG
Molecule: ribosomal RNA, 253 nt
Filed under: uncultured bacterium
Lineage: Bacteria
Description: partial 16S ribosomal RNA
Rfam family: Bacterial small subunit ribosomal RNA
Source: RNAcentral